AUGUGGAAGGGCAGUCAGCUAUCUGUUUUGUGCAGUUCUCUUGUCAACUUCAUGCUCAAAAUGCAGAACAAAUGUUCAGAUUCAGUCCACAAAAUGUUCAACCGAAGCUACAAUAUUUUGCCUGCGAUUGUCGAGCAGUACGUGUGUGGUCCGAACUACUCAAAACUGAGCUCUCUGAUAAAAUUUGGAACUUGUCCGAGCAUCGCAUUCUGGAUCAUGCUACUAUUAUCUUCUCUUUUGUGCUAUCGAGUUGUUUGGGUCUCACUGGAGCAUCUACCAGCUGUUAGCACCUUGGGACCCUGGAGGGAUUGCAUUGUGGCUGUUAUUGAAAUGGACUCGACAAACGGUUUUUCAAGGCGGGCAGGGUGUCGGCUUUCCGCCAGGCUCCGACUUCGGCAACUACAACGACGCCGCCGCCUUCGGCUUCCUUUGCCAGGCGUACUUUGCCGCGACCCCGUCGAUUCCCCGCUCCACGACGAAGGGCCCAACUCCCAAGCUGAUCGCCAAGUGGGUUCUGUUCCAGCAGCCCGCUUGCUCAGCCUCGGCCUGCCCAACUACGGCCGCCUCGCCGACUUCUUCCGCGAUGCCGGCAAGGCGGUGAUCGACGAGGGCGAGCGGCUGGGCAUCGCGCGGGAGGAGGCGGAUCCUGUUCCUGUUGCUGCUGAAGUGGCCGGGCCGCGCGCACCCGGCCGCCUCGCGAUGGAGGUGCGCGCCACCGUGCGCGCCAACGGCGGCGAGGUGACGAUUCAGGCGCUGGCCGAGAUGCCGCUGGUGAAGUCGGCCGUGUACAAGGCGCUGCGGAUCGAGCCGCCGGUGGCGCGCGAGCGCGAAGCUGGACAUGGUGGUGGAGAGCCAUGA
Molecule: ribosomal RNA, 858 nt
Filed under: Triticum aestivum (bread wheat)
Lineage: Eukaryota; Viridiplantae; Streptophyta; Magnoliopsida; Poales; Poaceae
Description: partial small subunit ribosomal RNA
Source: RNAcentral